GACGAACGCUGGCGGCGCGCUUAACACAUGCAAGUCGAACGGGCCCGCUCUCUUUUUUGGGGGUGGGUUGAGUGGCGAACGGGUGAGUAUCACGUGAGUAACCUGCCCCCUGCUCCUGGAUAACUGCUUGAAAGGGCGGCUAAUACGGGGUGUGCCGGCUGGUCCGCAUGGGCCUGGUCGGGAUAGUUUCAUCUUCGGGUGUUUCGGUGGGGGAUGGGCUCGCGGCCUAUCAGCUUGUUGGUGGGGUGAUGGCCCACCAAGGCGGUGACGGGUAGCCGGCCUGAGAGGGUGGGCGGCCACACUGGGACUGAGACACGGCCCAGACUCCUGCGGGAGGCAGCAGUGGGGGGUAUUGCACAAUGGGCGGAAGCCUGAUGCAGCGACGUCGCGUGAGGGAUGGAGGCCUUCGGGUUGUGAACCUCUUUCUCCGGUGGUGAAGGCCCUGUCCGUUGCGGCGGGGUUGACGGUAGCCGGGUAUGAAGCGCCGGCUAACUACGUG
RNAcentral lists this ribosomal RNA (499 nucleotides) under uncultured bacterium. Its description in RNAcentral is "partial 16S ribosomal RNA". It matches the Rfam family "Bacterial small subunit ribosomal RNA", at positions 28 to 507 of the family's 1533-position model. The record is from RNAcentral.